RNAcentral lists this ribosomal RNA (1439 nucleotides) under uncultured organism. RNAcentral describes it as "16S ribosomal RNA". It matches the Rfam family "Bacterial small subunit ribosomal RNA". The record is from RNAcentral.
CAGGCUUAACACAUGCAAGUCGAGGGGCAGCAUGGUCUUAGCUUGCUAAGGCCGAUGGCGACCGGCGCACGGGUGAGUAACACGUAUCCAACCUGCCGUCUACUCUUGGACAGCCUUCUGAAAGGAAGAUUAAUACAAGAUGGCAUCAUGAGUCCGCAUGUUCACAUGAUUAAAGGUAUUCCGGUAGACGAUGGGGAUGCGUUCCAUUAGAUAGUAGGCGGGGUAACGGCCCACCUAGUCUUCGAUGGAUAGGGGUUCUGAGAGGAAGGUCCCCCACAUUGGAACUGAGACACGGUCCAAACUCCUACGGGAGGCAGCAGUGAGGAAUAUUGGUCAAUGGGCGAGAGCCUGAACCAGCCAAGUAGCGUGAAGGAUGACUGCCCUAUGGGUUGUAAACUUCUUUUAUAAAGGAAUAAAGUCGGGUAUGGAUACCCGUUUGCAUGUACUUUAUGAAUAAGGAUCGGCUAACUCCGUGCCAGCAGCCGCGGUAAUACGGAGGAUCCGAGCGUUAUCCGGAUUUAUUGGGUUUAAAGGGAGCGUAGAUGGAUGUUUAAGUCAGUUGUGAAAGUUUGCGGCUCAACCGUAAAAUUGCAGUUGAUACUGGAUAUCUUGAGUGCAGUUGAGGCAGGCGGAAUUCGUGGUGUAGCGGUGAAAUGCUUAGAUAUCACGAAGAACUCCGAUUGCGAAGGCAGCCUGCUAAGCUGCAACUGACAUUGAGGCUCGAAAGUGUGGGUAUCAAACAGGAUUAGAUACCCUGGUAGUCCACACGGUAAACGAUGAAUACUCGCUGUUUGUGAUAUACUGCAAGCGGCCAAGCGAAAGCGUUAAGUAUUCCACCUGGGGAGUACGCCGGCAACGGUGAAACUCAAAGGAAUUGACGGGGGCCCGCACAAGCGGAGGAACAUGUGGUUUAAUUCGAUGAUACGCGAGGAACCUUACCCGGGCUUAAAUUGCAGAUGAAUUACGGUGAAAGCCGUAAGCCGCAAGGCAUCUGUGAAGGUGCUGCAUGGUUGUCGUCAGCUCGUGCCGUGAGGUGUCGGCUUAAGUGCCAUAACGAGCGCAACCCUUGUUGUCAGUUACUAACAGGUUCCGCUGAGGACUCUGACAAGACUGCCAUCGUAAGAUGUGAGGAAGGUGGGGAUGACGUCAAAUCAGCACGGCCCUUACGUCCGGGGCUACACACGUGUUACAAUGGGGGGUACAGAGGGCCGCUACCACGCGAGUGGAUGCCAAUCCCCAAAACCUCUCUCAGUUCGGACUGGAGUCUGCAACCCGACUCCACGAAGCUGGAUUCGCUAGUAAUCGCGCAUCAGCCACGGCGCGGUGAAUACGUUCCCGGGCCUUGUACACACCGCCCGUCAAGCCAUGGGAGCCGGGGGUACCUGAAGUGCGUAACCGCGAGGAGCGCCCUAGGGUAAAACUGGUGACUGGGGCUAAGU